GCGUACAUUCACGCAUGCGCGCCCGGCUCAGUUUGCCAGACUUGGACCUGGGAAGUGUUGGGAUUGGGCGGGAAGGUGAGGCCCGCGCGAGGUUAGAGGCGCUUUUCCUCUCAGAUUUCUAGAAGGAAGGUCAAAAUGCCCAAGAGGAGGAAACCACAGAUUUCAGGCAAUUGGGAUUUGCCCAAGGUCACACAGCUAGGAAGUAUGAAGUGUCUGAGACCAUAUUUGAACUCAUGUCUUCCUGAUAUCAAGUCCGGUGCUCUAUCCACUGCGCCACCCAGCUGCCCCCAUUACAAAACACUUUCAAACAAACCUGCAAGGUUUUUUUUUUUUUUGAGAGCAGUUGUAAGAGGCUCUGGACCUGACCCUCCUGGGAUGAGUUGAGACGCCUUUGUGUCAGGCCCACCCUAACCUGUAUCCCUGGACUACCAAGGUGGCGUUGAUGGUGUGGUGGAGUCUGGACAGGUUGGGGAACAGGGGAGGCACAGUAAAGUUGGGCUCCUCCUUUCGGGGAGGGAUCGGGGAGGACUCUCUGUCCUGAUUGGUGUACAGUAAUGAGGAAGGAUAAGAGCUAUAAAAAAGAGCGGCACGGGGUGGUUCGGGGAGACAUGGCUGACUUGUAACAUCAAUAAACAUCACUGUUCUAUCAACCUCGGCUCUCUGUCUGGUGAUUCCCUCCUCCUGUCUCCACGAGGAGGGCCGGAGACGUCCGAAGCCCCGUCAGGCUCGGGGAAGCUGGAAAAGGCAGUCUCUGUUGUGGUUUCCCAUUUUCCUGUGACCUGGCCCGGCCCCCAACAACUGGCGCCCGAACAGGGACUUGACUGAACAGGGACCGGACUUGACUGAACAGGGACUUGAACCCUGGACCCUCUUCAUUUCUUAUAGCACAAUAGUAUUCCAUCAUAAUCAUAUACCUUAAUUUGUUUAGCCAUUCCUCAAUUGAUGGGCAUCCCCCCAAUUUCCAAUUAUUUGUUUCCAGGAAAGACCUCUUAUAAAUAUUUUCAUCAUAUAAAUCCUUUUCCUUUUUGUUUUGUUUUUAUCUCUUCUAGGAUACAUGCCUAGUAGUGGUAUUGAUAAAUCAGAGGGCAUGUAUGGUUUUAUAGUUUUGGGGCAUAGUUCCAAAUUGCUAUAGAGAAUGGUUGAAUCAAUUUACAAUUUUACCAAUUCCAUUCCAUCAAUGCCUCAUUUUUUCCACAUU
Antechinus flavipes (yellow-footed antechinus) is the source of this 1198-nucleotide long non-coding RNA. RefSeq lists it as uncharacterized. The transcript has 4 exons. NCBI's taxonomy places the organism in Eukaryota, Metazoa, Chordata, Mammalia, Dasyuromorphia, Dasyuridae. The record is from RefSeq and is a predicted model, not a curated record.